This is a long non-coding RNA of Coturnix japonica (Japanese quail), 2799 nucleotides long. RefSeq lists it as uncharacterized. Lineage: Eukaryota; Metazoa; Chordata; Aves; Galliformes; Phasianidae. The record is from RefSeq and is a predicted model, not a curated record.
GUAAUUUAUUCCAAGAUUUGCUCUCAAAAGUCGUGUAGAUGUGCUAGGCUCUGCCUUUGGUUGAUAAAUGGCCAGCGUGCAGGUUUUUCUUCUCCAAAGGCAUCACCUUCUGUGCUGGCUGCAUCUCAUCCUUGGCACGGAUCAAACAUAAGGCUGUAUGCUUACAAGUUUCAGCUGUCUGAAGGAGACAGUCCAGGAUAUUAAUGAACAUACUUCUGCCAUGGAAGGCAAGGAGAACUGAGUUGUGGGAUGGAUAAACACGUUGCCAAUUGCCACACAGGAAGCCCUCAAGAGAACUGGAGGAAGCUCAGAUUUGCUGAAUGUGAUAUUGAAUUCAAAGAAUUCAAAGAAUUCAAAGAAUUCAUCUGAAUGGCUGAACUAACACAGUGUCUUAGGAUCUCCAGCAGAUCACACACUACCUGAGCUCUCAGGAGCACGAACUACUCUGUCAGGAAAUAUAAACCUCUUUUUAUGUGUGAAGUGAAACCUGUGAGGUGUAACAUCUCCUACAGCUCUGGGGGAACUCCUGACUGUGGAUACGGUCCUCUGCUUUCCUGGAGCAGGUCUAGAGCAUCACCCUCCCUUCAGCUGAGUGAUACAAGGGGUCACCACCACCUCUGAGAUUUCCCUGACCCAAUUUGUAAAGCUGACUCUGAAAGUAAACAUGCACCACAGCUGUACCGCUGCCUUUUUGUCAUCUCAUGCUAUAAGCAGCAGCAAAGCACGGGGUUCAGAAUACUGUGUACAGAAUAUCCAAUAUAGAGGUGAAUCAAAGCAGUCAUGGUGGGUUUUUUGAUUAUGUUUUUGGUUGUUUUUUGGAAGUCUUAAUUCUUGCAUUCACAUGAUCAUGGGACCGUAUUUGAUUUAAUUGGUGAGAGACCCUGAAAUCUUGUAUAGAGAGAAGUGUAUAUAUGUAAAAGUGUAUUUUAUAUAUGCAUAAAAAUGUAUUUAUGUUUAUAUAAAAAUGUAUAUAUGAUAUGUCUAUACAUGUGUCCUACCACACCAAGAAAGAACAAGAUUUUCUAGUGAGCCCUUUCAAGGGCUUUCAAGGGCUCUUUUAGUGUUUAACAGUUUUGGAAGAAAGUUGGGACUCUCUAGCGCAGUUGGAAGGUGCAGUUGGAAGGGUCUGAACAGCCACAUACACUGCUUUCUUGUCCUGCAAAAUCUUUCUUCAGAGGCAGUGACAUAACUUGAACAGAGAGGGUUGAAGUUUUUUCCAUACUUGAAAUGCUAGUAAAGGAAAAUUCUUCAUAUCUUGAAAAAACAUCUUAAUAUCUUGAAUUAAAAAAAAAACACGUGGGAUGAAUCUUCUAAGGAUGGAAGGAUUUGAAUGUAAUUUUCUCCUAUUCCGAAAGACUUCCCUACUCUGUAAGCACUGAGGGAAGCAGUAGGUGCUGCUGCAUUCUUGGUGGAGACAGAUGACCUCAAUGUUUGCAUCACCUUUUGUGAUUGUAAAUUGCCUCAUCAGCAUCUAAAUUAGCUUAAUAAACCUUGACUCCUAAUUUACACUAGAUCUUGCAUUUGAAGAGGAAACUAAAUCUUCAGUGGAAGGAAUGGAGAAAGAAAGGAAGGAAAGAAGGAAGAAUCUUUCUAUUCUGUUUUUAGCAUUACCAGGACUGUGCAUACUGGCCAUAACAGACACUGCCUUCUUUGGACUACUGAUGAAAGAAGAUUUCGAUGCUUGAAUGGAGAGAUUUCUUCACUGCAGUUUUGCUCUUGUUUUUGAACCAUCUUGAUGCCUGCUUUCUCUUUUUGAAACUUUUCAGUUCCUUUUCCUUUGCAAAUGUUCCACAUUUCCAAAAUCAGAUUAUUGAGAAAAAUCUUCCCUUUGGAUAAAAAUCCUUGUGUAUAGCAGAAGAAAAUAUGGCAGAACAGUCUGCAAUAGCAUUUGAAGAAAGCUUGUCAGAUCUGUAUUCUUGGCUUCAAUACUUUAAUACUCUACAUUGUUGCUGUUUAAACCACUCAACAGCUUUGUGCCUCAUUGUGUAUUACAGUGAUGUCAUACAUAGCAUCUUAUUUUUCCCUUUCCUUCUCUUACUUUCUUUUUCUGAACUUUGUGCUUUGCAUCACACCAAACAGUUUCCACUUGCAGGAAAUGCGGUCUGUCAAGUGGUAUUGUUUACUUAGACAAAGCCCUGGAUGUUAGGUGUUACAGGCUACGGCAAGCCUCACAUCAUCCUGUUUCUUCUUUAACAAGCACACUUAGAGAAAUACAGAGGUAAGAAUGAAAAUCCCACCAUAAUUAUUACAGCUUAGACUCACCUGAGUAAUAUUCACAGCUCUGAUGGCAAUGGCACUGGGCUUCUGAUGGCAGUUCUGUAAUUCUAACAUUCACAAAAAAAAAUCCUGCUUUCCUUCAUUUGAGAUUCUUCAUUUACUUAAAGAAAAUAAACAACCACCACCCCAGAGCCAAGCUCCAAGCAAAAGGUCCUCAGAAGCCUUAAGUUCUUGGGGAACAGACUAAUGGGGACAUUGAGGUCCCUCUAGGCUGCCCAAGGGUCUUUUUACACAAGUCCUGGCCUGCUAAGCCUCUUGUCUCCAAAUGCUGUUUCUUUUCCUUUCUUCUCACCAGCCAAAUUAUAGCCUUCUCCUCGAUAUCUCCCCGUCCUUUGUUUUUCCUUUCAAUUAAUCCCUUCCUGCUUUUCCCUGGCCCUUUCUGUGCUACACAUACACACACUUUUCUAUCCAGGGAAGUUAAUUUAGAUUAAGGGAAAAGAUGAUUUUGAAAAUGAAUAGUUUUCCCUGAAAAACUCCAUGUGGAGAUGCCCUAAUUCUGGAAUAAAAGGGUUUUCCAAUGAA